AGUCAAUGAGCUUGAUAAAAGCUUAUAUUUUGAAAAUAUAAGAAAGAAAUAAUUUUCUAUUGACUU
RNAcentral lists this transfer RNA (66 nucleotides) under Moechotypa diphysis. Its description in RNAcentral is "tRNA-Ser". The record is from RNAcentral. Lineage: Eukaryota; Metazoa; Arthropoda; Insecta; Coleoptera; Cerambycidae.